GACGAACGCUGGCGGCGUGCUUAACACAUGCAAGUCGAACGAAGUGGCGAACGGGUGAGUAACGCGUAAUCAACCUGCCCUUCAGAGGGGGACAACAGUUGGAAACGACUGCUAAUACAGCAUACUGAAGGAGGAGAUGUCGUCUGAUUGGCUAGUUGGGGGGGUAACGGCCCACCAAGGCGAAGAUCAGUAGCCGGUCUGGGAGGGUGAACGGCCACAUUGGGACUGGGACACGGCCCAGACUCCUACGGGAGGCAGCAGGGGGGAAUCUGCCGCAAUGGACGAAAGUCUGACGGAGCAACGCCGCGGGAGUGAUGACGGCCUUCGGGUUGGAAAGCUCUGUUAAUCGGGACGCGGUACCGGAAUAGAAAGCCACGGCUAACUACGUGCCAGCCGCCGCGGUAAUUC
Molecule: ribosomal RNA, 408 nt
Filed under: uncultured bacterium
Lineage: Bacteria
Description: partial 16S ribosomal RNA
Rfam family: Bacterial small subunit ribosomal RNA
Source: RNAcentral